CUGCUGCUUCGCCACGAAAGAGUUCCCGUGCCGUGGGAGUAAGUCUGGGACCUCUGGUCGGACCGGAGAGUCGCAGCUGUGUGUUAGGGCUAGGAUGGCUCCUGGAUGCGCGUGACGCAAGUGACCUUGCGUGUAAAGGGAUACAUGAUCCCUUAAUUCAGGCUCAGGCUGAAGAACUGACCCACUUACAACAGAAGAUACAGGAAGGGAGAGGUGUCUGCUACCUUUUCACCCAGCAUGUGAAGAACACAGUCAAGUCUUUUGAGGGCCUUCUCAGGAACACUGACAUUGCCUACUACCAGAGACAGAGAUUCUGUGAGCAAAUGGUACAAGGAAGCCAGCUGACAGAGAUCCUUGUCAGAAAACUUGCCACAGAGAGACGGGGUUUCACCACAUUGGCCAGGCCGAUCUCAAACUCCUGACCUCAUGUGACCCACAUUGGCCUGGCAAAGUGCUGGGAUUACAAGCAUGAGCCACCACACUGGCCUAGCUUCUUUAAUACAAGAAUCAACCCCAAUGCUCACUAACAAACUGAGAAGAAAAAAAAGAAUUACCCCCAACAACAUCUGAGGAAGCACAACAGGGACAGACUUGAAGAAAAUCACAAUGGCUCAAGAGGGAAGUCCAGGAGGAAGAAAUGGAUGAAGUCCUGGAGUACUCACUAGAUGAACAGUAUUUGACUCAUUCCAGCUGCCAUGACUCCCACCAGCUUCCCAGCAGCAAUGCCUUCCUCUUUGAUGCACAGGAAGGCCCCUCGGCUGUGGAAACAGCCAAAGAUGAGAUCCAGAGCCAGUGGCAGCACCUGAAGGAGACCCUUUUCAUCAACAACUGCCUGUGAGAAAAGCUAGAACGUCAUCACAGCAGCUUUGAUGAAGAAAAUGGUAGGAGAGGCCC
RNAcentral lists this long non-coding RNA (894 nucleotides) under Homo sapiens (human). RNAcentral's name for it is "non-protein coding lnc-PPIAL4A-2:11". The record is from RNAcentral. Lineage: Eukaryota; Metazoa; Chordata; Mammalia; Primates; Hominidae.